Molecule: non-coding RNA, 224 nt
Organism: Macaca mulatta (Rhesus monkey)
Lineage: Eukaryota; Metazoa; Chordata; Mammalia; Primates; Cercopithecidae
Source: RefSeq, a predicted model, not a curated record
CUGGAUGGAAGUCACGGAACCUGUUGAGUCAAUUUCUUGGGAUGGGUUCCUGGUUCAGAUGGUACCAGUUGGUCCACCAGAAUGCAAGGAUUUUCCUGUGUCAUGUAAUUAAAUCUUUGAAUUUUCUGAGGAAUUUUAUUUCUGAAGAAAAAUGGCUAUUGACUUUUCACAGAAGAAUAUUGUCUGUUCAUUUCUUAAAAUAAAAAGUUAAAGUGUCUUCUUAA